GCUUGUUUUGUGCAUGUAUUAAAAUUGGAAUGAUACAGAGAAAAUUAGCAUGGUCCCUGCAUAUGUAUGACAUGAAAAUUUGGGAAGUGUUCCAUAUUUUG
Otolemur garnettii (small-eared galago) is the source of this 101-nucleotide small nuclear RNA. NCBI's taxonomy places the organism in Eukaryota, Metazoa, Chordata, Mammalia, Primates, Galagidae. The record is from Ensembl.